CGGACGGGUGAGUAAUGCUUGGGAAUCUGGCUUAUGGAGGGGGAUAACUGUGGGAAACUGCAGCUAAUACCGCGUAUUCUCUGAGGAGGAAAGGGUGGGACCUUAGGGCCACCUGCCAUAAGAUGAGCCCAAGUGGGAUUAGGUAGUUGGUGGGGUAAAGGCCUACCAAGCCUGCGAUCUCUAGCUGGUCUGAGAGGAUGACCAGCCACACUGGAACUGAGACACGGUCCAGACUCCUACGGGAGGCAGCAGUGGGGAAUAUUGCGCAAUGGGGGGAACCCUGACGCAGCCAUGCCGCGUGAAUGAAGAAGGCCUUCGGGUUGUAAAGUUCUUUCGGUAAUGAGGAAGGGAUGUUGUUAAAUAGAUAGCAUCAUUGACGUUAAUUACAGAAGAAGCACCGGCUAACUCCGUGCCAGCAGCCGCGGUAAUACGGAGGGUGCGAGCGUUAAUCGGAAUAACUGGGCGUAAAGGGCACGCAGGCGGACUUUUAAGUGAGAUGUGAAAUCCCCGAGCUUAACUUGGGAACUGCAUUUCAGACUGGGAGUCUAGAGUACUUUAGGGAGGGGUAGAAUUCCACGUGUAGCGGUGAAAUGCGUAGAGAUGUGGAGGAAUACCGAAGGCGAAGGCAGCCCCUUGGGAAUGUACUGACGCUCAUGUGCGAAAGCG
This 666-nucleotide ribosomal RNA is filed under the name uncultured Pasteurella sp. RNAcentral describes it as "bacterial SSU rRNA". It matches the Rfam family "Bacterial small subunit ribosomal RNA", at positions 99 to 761 of the family's 1533-position model. The record is from RNAcentral. Lineage: Bacteria; Pseudomonadati; Pseudomonadota; Gammaproteobacteria; Pasteurellales; Pasteurellaceae.